AAGACUAUACUUUCAGGGAUCAUUUCUAUAGUUUGUUACUAGAGAGGUUCCUCUGAUCGUGUAGAGUACCGGAAACCACGGGGAGGAGACGUGAUGUCCUCAUCUGAGCGUGAAGCUGGCUCUGGGUGCUGCUGUGUGGCAGCUGCUAUUUGCCAUUGAUGAUUGUUCUUCCCCUCUUGGAGAGGAAGAGGGUGGGGGUGUCGUCUGAGUGGUU
This is a small nucleolar RNA of Castor canadensis (American beaver), 214 nucleotides long. The record is from Ensembl. NCBI's taxonomy places the organism in Eukaryota, Metazoa, Chordata, Mammalia, Rodentia, Castoridae.